GCCGGGAUGGCGGAACUGGCAGACGCAGAGGACUUAAAAUCCUCUGGGCUUUAUGCCCGUGCGGGUUCAAGUCCCGCUCCCGGCA
Molecule: transfer RNA, 85 nt
Filed under: bacterium
Lineage: Bacteria
Also listed under: 2 other names
Description: tRNA-Leu
Rfam family: tRNA
About the family: Transfer RNA (tRNA) molecules are approximately 80 nucleotides in length.
Source: RNAcentral